RNAcentral lists this long non-coding RNA (1258 nucleotides) under Mus musculus (house mouse). RNAcentral describes it as "long non-coding RNA chr1:58462275-58463533". The record is from RNAcentral. Lineage: Eukaryota; Metazoa; Chordata; Mammalia; Rodentia; Muridae.
ACACACUGUAUUUCUCUAUGAAGAACCUAGAAUGUAUGUGUGUGUGGUGUGUGUACGUAGGUGCACACAGGUGAUAGAACCAAAAAGGGAUGAGACAGGACGAGGUUUUUUUUUUUAAGGAAAAAAAAGAACAAAUGAGGGUGAUGGGAUGCACAUGCUAAGAAAGCAGAGGGAACAUGGCUUUUGGGGAGGGGGCCAGAUGAGAACCAAUACAGGGAUACUAUGUAUUUGAAAGGGCAUAAGGGAAUCCAUUACUUUUGUAUGCUAACCUAAAAACUAAAAUAACAUCAAGAGUUCCCCCAGUGAAAUUACACCUCCAGCCCAGAAACCAAUUAGGCAGGAAUUAGAGCUUCAAGUCAGGUUAUAACUGCUAGGCAUGAAGGGACAAUGCUGCUCAGAGAAGGGGGUGAGUGUAUAGCGAUCUGCCUAGGUACCCAUUAGAUUUGUACGAUGCAUUCAAUCCUUGCCAGACACUUCAAAACAAAACUACAAAAGGACUCUGCAAACUGCACUUUGAUUUAUUAAGAGCGACAUCUAAUAACAAAAACUAUAAAGGCAACUGCAAAGAUGUCACAUUCUAUAAUCAGAUGUUUGUUUAUACUGUAGGAGUUACACUAGAGAAAUUAAGCAAAACUGUGAAAGUACAUGGAGUUGGGGGGAUGUCUCAGUGGGUAAGAAGUACCUGAGUUUGGAUCCCAGCACUCACAAAAAGCUGGGCAUGGCUGUGCCUGUCACACCAGUACUGGUGUGAAGACAGGAUCACUGGCAGCCCAUCUGGCCUACAAGGAGCUCUGGUUCAGUGAAGAGAGGCCUUGUCUCAAGGAAAUAAGGCAGAAGGUGGUAGAAGACAUCUUACUCAGUCUCUGCACAGACACCCACAUACCACAUUCCACACAAGCAAAGUGCAGACCAGCAGGUUUCAUGUUACCAAUGUGUAUUUAUUUACUGAAUGUUUGUUUUUGAAACAGGACAUCACCGCAGCUUAGACUGGUCUAGAACUCACUAACUAGUCUAGGUCUUGAACUCAUGUUUUCCUCUGCCUCUGCCUUCUUGAUGUUGGUAUUACAAAUGUGAGCUCAGGUCUUGUGUCUUAAAGGAGAGAAGCAAUCCGUCUGCCUCUGACUCCUGAGUGCUGGGAUUAAAGGUGUGCGCUACCUAUCCCUGUGAGCUAUUUAAGAAAAUAGAAAAUGUCAAUGUACAAGAAUGAUGAAAUGUUUUUAUUUUCUACUGUACUGAAAACAAUAAAAUGUAAAUCAGG